Molecule: long non-coding RNA, 427 nt
Organism: Lycium ferocissimum
Lineage: Eukaryota; Viridiplantae; Streptophyta; Magnoliopsida; Solanales; Solanaceae
Exons: 3
Source: RefSeq, a predicted model, not a curated record
ACUCUUCUUCUUCUUCUUCUUCUUCCUAAUAGCCUAUUCCAAAAUUGCUUCUCUCUCACUUUCCCUGUAUUUUCUGUGCUUCUUCUUCCUUUUCAGUUCUAUGUCUGCAUCUCUAUUUAGUAUUUAGUCAUUUAUGGUUACUUUUGAUUCUUAAGUUGUUGCAUGUUGGUUUUACAUGAUUUAGAAGUGAUCGGAAAGAAACCAAGCGAAAAUGAGGCAAAAAGGAGCUAAAAUGAAGAAAAUGAGAAAAGUGACUAGAAAUGCAAAGUAUGGACAGAUCUGCAAAUCUGGGGCUAUUUUCGCCAUUUCUAAGUGGAAAAGUUGUGAAGCUACAAAAAGAAAGACUUGGAGAACAUUAUUUUCAUCUUUGGCCAUUUUACAAGUCUUGGAGAGCUAGGGUUCCAACACCCACACUUGGGGACUGAAG